RNAcentral lists this long non-coding RNA (235 nucleotides) under Mytilus galloprovincialis (Mediterranean mussel). The record is from RNAcentral. Lineage: Eukaryota; Metazoa; Mollusca; Bivalvia; Mytilida; Mytilidae.
AGUUGUGUUGUGUAGCGUUGUUGGAUUUCUUUUCUUUCUUUAUCCUUGUAUUUUUAAAGUUAUCUUGUAAUUAUUAAAUGUAUAGUUACGUUGGUGCAAUGUUAUUGGAAUUUGCUGGUGUUUAUGUGCUCUUUGAAAUCGUCAUAGAUACUUUUGAGUUGUUUAUUAGAUUUGAGAUAUAAAUAAAUCAUGUUUUGGUAGUAUACUAGAUUUGAUAUAUAUAUAUUGGUGUUUU